GACGGACGCUGGCGGCGUGCUUAACACAUGCAAGUCGAACGAAGAGCGAUGGAAGCUUGCUUCUAUCAAUCUUAGUGGCGAACGGGUGAGUAACGCGUAAUCAACCUGCCCUUCAGAGGGGGACAACAGUUGGAAACGACUGCUAAUACCGCAUACGAUCUAAUCUCGGCAUCGAGGAUAGAUGAAAGGUGGCCUCUACAUGUAAGCUAUCACUGAAGGAGGGGAUUGCGUCUGAUUAGCUAGUUGGAGGGGUAACGGCCCACCAAGGCGAUGAUCAGUAGCCGGUCUGAGAGGAUGAACGGCCACAUUGGGACUGAGACACGGCCCAGACUCCUACGGGAGGCAGCAGUGGGGAAUCUUCCGCAAUGGACGAAAGUCUGACGGAGCAACGCCGCGUGAGUGAUGACGGCCUUCGGGUUGUAAAGCUCUGUUAAUCGGGACGAAAGGCCUUCUUGCGAAUAGUGAGAAGGAUUGACGGUACCGGAAUGGAAAGCCACGGCUAACUACGUG
RNAcentral lists this ribosomal RNA (510 nucleotides) under uncultured bacterium. Its description in RNAcentral is "partial 16S ribosomal RNA". It matches the Rfam family "Bacterial small subunit ribosomal RNA", at positions 28 to 507 of the family's 1533-position model. The record is from RNAcentral.